Papaver somniferum (opium poppy) is the source of this 1040-nucleotide long non-coding RNA. RefSeq lists it as uncharacterized. NCBI's taxonomy places the organism in Eukaryota, Viridiplantae, Streptophyta, Magnoliopsida, Ranunculales, Papaveraceae. The transcript has 2 exons. The record is from RefSeq and is a predicted model, not a curated record.
CCUCCCACCCAGAAAACCAUUCUUCUCUGCCGGCUUCAUCUCUCGCCUCUUUCCUUUUCUGUUCUCCUUUGAUUUCUCAUUGUUUUAUUGAUUAACAGGAACGAAGAAGUAAGGUCAUUUACGUAAUAGUUUAGCUUUCAUCAGAUGCUCAUCAAAGGACAUCCAUUCUGUCAGCCACACGUAUAAAACCUGAGAAAAUUUUCUCUGGACUUGGUAAGCACCGUCUGCAGAUAUCAAACAAUUUCCAGUUCCUAUGCAUACAUUUUGAUUGACAAAAAGGUGCUUCGGUUCGUCUUAUUUUUAUAUUUAUAUAGUUUGGUACAAGAUCUGAAAGUCUGUAUUACUGAAUAUUGGGGAAUGGAAGGACGGUUUGAAAUGUAUUAGGCUAAUGGUUUUUUCAAACGAACCAUCUACAACCAUAAAGUGAAGGGAACAAAAACGAGUACGUGAUAUAGAUUCGCAUUCCUACCUAACUUUGAUAGAUUUGGAAUUUCUAUGAUCAAUUUUUGGAGGUAUGUGAAAUUAUCCAUAUUAUGAUUCGCGAGUGUAGUGUUAGCACCAUUUUUUCUAAUUACAGUAGUGGUUCGUCAGUUUUGGUUAUACUAAAGGAACAUGAGUUGUUUAGUGUCAGCACCAUUCCAUCAUUUGCUGUCUUAGCUCAGUUGGUAGAGUGCGUGGCUUUCCGCCACGAGGGCGUGGGUUCGAUUCCCACAGACGGGAAAUGUUGGGGCAAUUUUGAACCAAGUAGAAUUAAAAAAAAAGAAUAGCAGAACGUUUUAGAAUUAUAAUUAGGUUCUUUGAGGUAAAUGAAUUCUUGACAUAAAGUAGCAGGUUGUUGUAGCACUUAAUUAGACACAGUGUGGUGAUCAGUUGAUGAAAAAUAGAACAAAGGGUGUAAAGAACCUCUUUGGCCCAUUAAAAAACUAAAAUGUUUGGCCCAUCAGAAAACUUAAUUGUGGCAUAGACAGUAGAUACCAUUGAGCUUUAUAAGAAAACGAUUCAUUUCGAACAAGUAUGAAAUAAUAGAUAAAAAUAGGUUU